This 2347-nucleotide long non-coding RNA is filed under the name Theobroma cacao (cacao). RNAcentral describes it as "long non-coding RNA (TCAC_LNC003501)". Lineage: Eukaryota; Viridiplantae; Streptophyta; Magnoliopsida; Malvales; Malvaceae. The record is from RNAcentral.
GCAUUAGCUCCUCAAACAAUUUUUGUACCGGCUUUUUUAGCAUGUUGGCUGCUUGAAAGAAAUUCAAGGCUAAGCUAAACGAAGGCAGCAUAUCGAAGUUCUCACACCCUUCGGGCAAUCCUGAUUCUGCACAUGGAAACCGGAAUUCAACUAAACGGAUAGAGAGCCCUGAUUCUAUGGCACGAUCAAGGAUUGACUUGAACCUGGCUGCAUUAUGAGGAGUUGUAACUAUGGUUACGAUCACGCCUUGCUGUGCCAAUAACCUAGCAAUGUCUAUCAUAGGGGUCAUAUGGCCUUAAGCCAUGAAGGGAAACAGGACAAAGUGAAGCUGCUCGACUUGAGUAGCCAUGGCAACUGUUACUACUAAACUAUAAGCUUCAAUCACUCAACUUUUAACAGAAAUUAAGCGUAGACCAAAAAUGAUAUGGAAAAACCAUGCUUUAACUUGUGUACAUUUUAGUAUAAAAGAAACUCUAGGGUUGCUUUCAUGGUGACGUAAGAGCAUACAUAAGCAUUUUCGAUUAUCUGGGAAAAAUGAAAUUCGGUGGACAAUGUUCAGCACAUGCGUUUGGAAAAAUGUACAUGGCAUUGUUUGACUCUCUUGGCUCUCCAAAAUGGAUCACCAUGGAAAGAAGAUAGAAAUCAAUUAGCAUUCAAAGAACACUUUUUGUUGGUUUUUUUUUUCAAAAAAGAAAAAAAAAACAAAAUCUUAUGCAACUUUUAGGUAUAGGUACAAGAAUACAAGUUAAUUUGUAUCUCAUGGCUAUCCCUUCUCUUUAGAGGACAGUAACACAAACUUUUUUUGUACAUCUUGCAGCUCUGUUCUGAUGUAUGUUGUCAAUUAUUUAUCUGGUAUUUGUAUUCAUCUCUCUUACUAUCCAAUGAACAUGCAUAUGGAAUUGAUGACCAGGAAAAACUGGUAUUUUCCAAAUUAAUCUAAAACAACAUUACAAUGGAGAUAAGUCCUGCUUCUUCAUCUCAGGUGCUAGGCUGCUUCCUAUCAUAUGCUCUUUGCAUGAUAUCCUGAAUUAACUGUGUAAUGUUGAGGUGAGAAGAUCCCCCUGUUUCAACAGCCUUCUUUGCCAUUUCUCCAAGUUUCUUGGCUCUCUUUCUUCUCUCUUCUCCUUCCUCUCCUCCAUCCAUCAACCUCUCUAUAGCCUUUUUAACAUCGUUCUUCUUUACCAACACUCCAACCUUCUCUUCUUCCGCCCACCUCACAGGCUCCUCUACCCCAACCUUCACUCCGAUUUUAAGUAUUUGUGCCGCCAAUUUCUCAUUGACAAACUGGUCUGCAAAUAGCGGCCAAGUUAUCAAUGGCACACCAGCAGAGAUGCCUUCAAUUGUGGAAUUCCAGCCACAAUGAGUUAGGAACCCUCCAAUUGCAGGAUGUGACAAUAUUAGUACUUGUGGAGCCCAACCCCGGAUCACAAGGCCUCUUCCUUUUGUUCUUUCCUCAAAACCAUCCUCUGAAAUCCACUUCUCUACUUCUUUUGAUGUAUCACUUCCUCUUAUAACCCAAAUAAAUGGUCUAUUCGAUGCCUCUAAGCCUAAACCGAGCUCUAUUGAUUGUGAGGGUAUCACAUUAGAUUGGCUUCCGAGACAGGCAUAGAUUACAGAGCCAGGCUUUUGAGAAUCAAGCCAUCUGAGGCAUUUGUGUUCAUCUACCGUGGCCUUGUUACCUCUCUCAGCCUUAUCCAAGGCAUCAUUGUUACAUAGGGAAACUGGACCAAUGCACCAUACUUUGUUUCCUCUUGCCUUCCUGUAUUCUUUGACAUAUUCUGGCUCCAUCUCUUCAAAAGUAUUUAUGACUACGCCAUAGGAUGCUUGCGCGGUGCUCUUCAGUUGCUCGGAAAAAUCUUUCAGGUUUCCAUACAUAACUUCCGGAAUCUGGGCUUUAGUAAAUUCAACUCUGUCAGGCAUGUUAGGCACAACAAAGUACUCUGACUCCGAGGUUAUGCGCUCAUAGAUCUUGGAGACGAGUAAAUUAUGGAGGCAAAGAAGAAGAAAGCAACAACCACCAUUGAACACAAUCCUUGGAAUCUGAAACCGGUUAGCAAUAUCGAGUGUAUAUGACAACACGACAUCAGAUAUGAUACAACUUGGCCGUGGCAUUAGCUCCUCAAACAAUUUUUGUACCGGCUUUUCUAGCAUGUUGGCUGCUUGGAAGAAAUUCAAGGCUAAGCUAAACGAAGGCAGCAUAUCGAAGUUCUCACACCCUUCUGGCAAUCCUGCUUCUGCACAUGGAAACCGAAAUUCAGCUAAACGAAUAGAGAGCCCUGAUUCUAUGGCACGAUCAAGGGUUGACUUGAACCGGGCUGCAUUAUGAGGAGUUGUAACUAUGGUUACG